GAUGAAGAACGUAGCGAAAUGCGAUACUUGGUGUGAAUUGCAGAAUCCCGUGAACCAUCGAGUCUUUGAACGCAAGUUGCGCCCGAAGCCACUAGGCCGAGGGCACGCCUGCCUGGGCGUCACACGCCGUUGCCCCCCCAUCUACUCCUUCGGGAUUGCGGGGGGGCGGAUGAUGGCCUCCUGUGCGCCUAGCCGCGCGGUUGGCAUAAAUACCAAGUCCUCGGCGACGCACGCCACGACAAUCGGUGGUUGCGAAGCCUCGGUUGCCCGUCGUGUGCGUUCGUCGCGCAUCGAGGGCUCGAAAAAAUGCUCGGCUCCGGCUGGGCUUUCAACGCGACCCCAGGUCAGGCGGGGUUACCCGCUGAAUUUAAGCAUAUCAAUAAGCGGAGGA
Molecule: unclassified non-coding RNA, 391 nt
Filed under: soil metagenome
Description: partial contains 5.8S ribosomal RNA, internal transcribed spacer 2, and large subunit ribosomal RNA
Rfam family: 5.8S ribosomal RNA (bases 1-122)
Source: RNAcentral